This is a long non-coding RNA of Gadus chalcogrammus (walleye pollock), 611 nucleotides long. RefSeq lists it as uncharacterized. The record is from RefSeq and is a predicted model, not a curated record. The transcript has 4 exons. Lineage: Eukaryota; Metazoa; Chordata; Actinopteri; Gadiformes; Gadidae.
GAUAUGACGAUAUAUAUCGUGUGAUGAUAUAAAAAUGUCUAUCGUUUCAUAUUAUCCUCUAUCGUUUAUAUCGUCUUGUCGCAAAUCACACUCUUUACGGUAAUAUUUUACGUCAUUUGGACGACGCUUUACAUUCUUCCACACGGCACAUGAACGCAACACAAACAAACAUGGAGGAGAGUGAACGUGACAAUUCUGAAUAGGAGAAGGACUCCCACGACCAGCCAAGACAAAGUGCUGUGCUGCAUGUCUGCUGUUCAGGAGCCCCAGAGGUCAUCUCCCUCUGUGUCAUCACAACCUCAGCCUCCUCACAGCUCCAGGCCCCAACGCGGCGACCCCACACAGAGAGCUCAUGUACAGCAAAUAAGGCCAAAAGAAAGAAAAACAACCCAACAGGUCCGCCAGCUGCGUGCGCGACGACAAGAGAGACGGGUUGAGGCUUGCAGAAUUGGCCGCUCUCUCCUACCCUCUCUAACCUGUGAAGGAAAGGAAUCUGUUGCAAAACAAAUUUGUAACCUACUACUCAAAGCUGUGUCAACCAAAGAAAUAAGGAAUGUUAUUUUGCACAACACUACUAAUCUGUAAGCCAGCAUUGGCACCACAAAAUAAAA